AGAGUUUGAUCCUGGCUCAGGACGAACGCUGGCGGCGUGCCUAAUACAUGCAAGUCGAGCGGAGUACGCUGAUUGCUUGCAAUCAGCAUAUUUAGCGGCGGACGGGUGAGUAACACGUAGGCAACCUGCCUGCAAGACCGGGAUAACAUUCGGAAACGAAUGCUAAUACCGGAUACGCAGUAUCCUCGCAUGGGGAGACU
This 200-nucleotide ribosomal RNA is filed under the name uncultured bacterium. RNAcentral describes it as "partial 16S ribosomal RNA". It matches the Rfam family "Bacterial small subunit ribosomal RNA", at positions 8 to 200 of the family's 1533-position model. The record is from RNAcentral.